UAAUCAUAUGGCAUUCACUUACCUCUUGACCAGAAUCAACCGGUUUCGAUCGAUGAGAAGAGCUUCCGGUUUGAGUGGAUCCAUGGAGCUAAUUGUCUGUGCCCAAUAUAGAAGGUUUCUAAACACAAUCGAUGGGACAAGAAAUGGACUAAAGGCUCUUAAGCUACUCCUCUCAUCAUCCGUUGCAGGUAACACGAGAUUAGUUAGACUCUCUUGUUACUUUACCUGUUUGAUGCUUCUUUAUCUCUAUACAUAGGUUUAAGUUUUGUAUGAGAUCUUGUCACUGCAGCAAUAGAACAAUCAAUGCAAGUUUUAUAAGGUCUUCUUUUAUAGAACAAUGGAUGCAGUUGGUCUAUGGGCCAAUCUUGUAGAAACAUCGAUGAUUCUUUUUUGUAUAUAUAUAUACAGUGGGUCUAUGGACCAAUCUUGGUUUUGAA
This is a long non-coding RNA of Raphanus sativus (radish), 437 nucleotides long. RefSeq lists it as uncharacterized. The transcript has 2 exons. The record is from RefSeq and is a predicted model, not a curated record. NCBI's taxonomy places the organism in Eukaryota, Viridiplantae, Streptophyta, Magnoliopsida, Brassicales, Brassicaceae.